AAGCAACGCGAAGAACCUUACCAGGUCUUGACAUCCCUCUGACCGGUGCAGAGAUGCGCCUUCCCUUCGGGGCAGAGGAGACAGGUGGUGCAUGGUUGUCGUCAGCUCGUGUCGUGAGAUGUUGGGUUAAGUCCCGCAACGAGCGCAACCCUUGAUCUUUGUUGCCAGCACGUAAAGGUGGGCACUCUAAGAUGACUGCCGGUGACAAACCGGAGGAAGGUGGGGAUGACGUCAAAUCAUCAUGCCCCUUAUGACCUGGGCUACACACGUACUACAAUGGUCGGUACAGAGGGCAGCGAGGCCGCGAGGCGGAGCGAAUCUCAGAAAACCGAUCUCAGUUCGGAUUGCAGGCUGCAACUCGCCUGCAUGAAGCCGGAAUUGCUAGUAAUCGCGGAUCAGCAUGCCGCGGUGAAUACGUUCCCGGGUCUUGUACACACCGCCCGUCACACCACGAGAGUUUACAACACCCGAAGUCGGUGAGGUAACCGCAAGGAGCCAGCCGCCGAAGGUGGG
Molecule: ribosomal RNA, 513 nt
Filed under: uncultured bacterium
Lineage: Bacteria
Description: bacterial SSU rRNA
Rfam family: Bacterial small subunit ribosomal RNA
Source: RNAcentral